AUUGAGGUUGCCGAAAAUCGUAAAAAGAGUAGGCA
Non-coding RNA from Bacteroidetes bacterium GWB2_41_8, 35 nucleotides. NCBI's taxonomy places the organism in Bacteria, Pseudomonadati, Bacteroidota. The record is from Rfam.